CGACACCCCACCCAGUGCCCUUUAAAUAGGGGAAGUGUGUCCUGUGAGUGUGUGGCUGCUGUGGAUGCAGGAGACCUGGGACUCAGGACUGCUCUCUGCCUGCUUCAGUCGCCCAGCCUCGCUGAGGAUCUGUGACUCCAGACAUGAGGACCCUCGCCCUCCUCGCUGCCCUUCUCCUGCUGGCCCUCCAGGCCCAGGCUGAGCCUCUCGGAGCAAGAGUUGAGGAGGCCCCAGACCAGCAGCAGCCAGGACAAGAGGACCAGGUGGCAACUAUCUCCUUUACAGGGGAUGAAAACUCGGCUCAGGAUGCAGGUGUAAGGGCAGGAGAGGAGUGCACCUGCAGAAGACCCUCAUGCAAUGCUGGGGAGAGCGUCUCAGGAAGCUGCAUAGUGAAUGGCGUCUUUUACCUGCUUUGCUGCAGUUAAAUCACAAUUUGCUUUGACACCUAGAAGGCACCUGCUGUUUCACUGUGCCAUGUCAUCAAUUCCCUCCCAGCCCAAAUAAAUUCCUUGCAUCAA
This is a long non-coding RNA of Marmota monax (woodchuck), 518 nucleotides long. RefSeq lists it as uncharacterized. The record is from RefSeq and is a predicted model, not a curated record. The transcript is spliced from 3 exons. NCBI's taxonomy places the organism in Eukaryota, Metazoa, Chordata, Mammalia, Rodentia, Sciuridae.